GGGUGUGAUCAUACCAGUGUUAGUGCAUCAAAUCCCAUUAGGACUCAGCAACUGAGCACACUUGGGAUAGAGUAGUAUUGGGAUGGGUGACCUCCCGAGAAGUCCUAGUGUUACACCCU
Molecule: non-coding RNA, 119 nt
Organism: Picea glauca (white spruce)
Lineage: Eukaryota; Viridiplantae; Streptophyta; Pinopsida; Pinales; Pinaceae
Source: Rfam